Molecule: ribosomal RNA, 216 nt
Filed under: Campeiostachys nutans
Lineage: Eukaryota; Viridiplantae; Streptophyta; Magnoliopsida; Poales; Poaceae
Description: Elymus nutans partial small subunit ribosomal RNA
Rfam family: Eukaryotic small subunit ribosomal RNA (bases 44-216)
Source: RNAcentral
GGGUCAGUAGGUUGGUCAUGCCACUGGUAUGUACUGGUCUCACUGAUUCCUCCUUCCUGAUGAACUGUAAUGCCAUUAAUUUGGUGUUGCAGGGAAUCUGGACUGUUACUUUGAAAAAAUUAGAGUGCUCAAAGCAAGCCUACGCUCUGGAUACAUUAGCAUGGGAUAGCAUUAUAGGAUUUCGGUCCUAUUACGUUGGCCUUCGGGAUCGGAGUA